Felis catus (domestic cat) is the source of this 899-nucleotide RNA transcript. It is a transcript of the gene named histone H2B-like, with no coding region annotated. The record is from RefSeq and is a predicted model, not a curated record. NCBI's taxonomy places the organism in Eukaryota, Metazoa, Chordata, Mammalia, Carnivora, Felidae. The transcript has 2 exons.
UGGGGCUCUCCUGAUGGAAGCUUAGAAUGGCCGAGACCCGUGUCAUGUGAGUGGCCCUGGGUGUGUUCUGGACUUCAGCUUUUCUCACACAGGGGUCCUUCUUCACGCCCCAAGUUCCUGAAAAGUUGCGUGCAAACAGCUUCGAUAAAUUGGAUCUGCAGAUGGUGGCUAUCUUUUCCCACUGGGCUCGCUGUCUGUUGGCAGUAACUCUGAACACCUGAGCUCUUCGUGUCUCUCUUGGAUCUGUUGACAGGCAAUCUAGAAAUUGAUUCUUAAAUGCCCUCUUACAGAGAGAGGAUUCACCACCUCGUCUGUUCUUAUUCUGCGAAGAGGCACUUACAUCAGGUCUUCACUAAGUGGUGCUCUGUACUUCGAAUGUACCUAGCAUGGGUAGGCUUUCGUUCCUCCUUCCCGCCCACCCAACCUCACUUCGUAGCCUACAGUUGCAGAGAACAAAAUCAGAGAAGGCUUCCCCUUUGGAAGAAGCUACGGGGAAGAGAAGAAGACUCACCCAGACUUCAGUGGGUGCUCCUGGAUCUCGGAUGCACUGGGCUCUUUGGAGGACUGGCUGCUGGAACGGGUUCGCCUGGAGGUGGUUAGAUUGUCCUUCUACAACCACAGAAAAGCCAUCACCAGCAGAGAGAUCCCUGGAGCAGUUAAACAGAGAUCCUCUUGGAAGAGCUUCUGUAUCGAUGAAAUGUUCUGAAUGGCUCUGUUGUUGAGGUGAUUGCACUUGUCAAAAAUAAUCAGAUAUGUCAGAGGGCUGAGUCGGAAGACGAGGUAUCAGAUAAGGACCUGUUGCAACAGGAGUCUUGGUGCUACAUAGGUGGUCUCUGGGUCCUGUGCUUUUAGCCUCUGACUUAAUUUGUGGGGAAAAAAUAAAGGCAUUUUGUCUUGUG